CAGAUCGAGCAUGGCAAGCCGCUGACGGCCCGCGAUGUCGGCAAGCUUCUGGCUCGGGAGCGUCCAGUCCAGGAAGCGCUCGUCAUCCUUCCCUUCAAGCUCCCAGAUCUCGCGCGAGUCCGGAUGCACCUGCGCCGGACUGGGAAUCGCCAUCACAGCGAAGCCCGCGCCGGUGACCGUGACGCCGCGCUGGAGCUCGCGAAGCAACGGCUCGGUGAUGUUCCAGGAGCGUUGUAUCGUCGGCGACGACUCCCGUCGAAAGACCCCAAGGCCGCGUCGGGAAGGCUCGCCGGACCGGUCGCCCUUCCAGAUGUCUCGGAGAUGGUGUGGCCAGACCUCGACGAGGUUGACCAGCU
RNAcentral lists this unclassified non-coding RNA (356 nucleotides) under plant metagenome. RNAcentral's name for it is "partial contains 5.8S ribosomal RNA, internal transcribed spacer 2, and large subunit ribosomal RNA". The record is from RNAcentral.